RNAcentral lists this ribosomal RNA (484 nucleotides) under uncultured bacterium. Its description in RNAcentral is "partial 16S ribosomal RNA". It matches the Rfam family "Bacterial small subunit ribosomal RNA", at positions 30 to 507 of the family's 1533-position model. The record is from RNAcentral.
AUUGAACGCUGGCGGCAGGCCUAACACAUGCAAGUCGAGCGGAUGAAGGGAGCUUGCUCCUGGAUUCAGCGGCGGACGGGUGAGUAAUGCCUAGGAAUCUGCCUGGUAGUGGGGGAUAACGUCCGGAAACGGGCGCUAAUACCGUAUACGUCCUGAGGGAGAAAGUGGGGGAUCUUCGGACCUCACGCUAUCAGAUGAGCCUAGGUCGGAUUAGCUAGUUGGUGGGGUAAAGGCCUACCAAGGCGACGAUCCGUAACUGGUCUGAGAGGAUGAUCAGCCACACUGGAACUGAGACACGGUCCAGACUCCUACGGGAGGCAGCAGUGGGGAAUAUUGGACAAUGGGCGAAAGCCUGAUCCAGCCAUGCCGCGUGUGUGAAGAAGGUCUUCGGAUUGUAAAGCACUUUAAGUUGGGAGGAAGGGCAGUAAGUUAAUACCUUGCUGUUUUGACGUUACCAACAGAAUAAGCACCGGCUAACUUCGUG